GAAAGUAAAUAAGGGCGUAUGGGGAAUGCCUAGGCUCUUGGAGGCGAAGAAAGACGUGGUAAGCUGCGAAAAGCUCCGGGGAUUUGCAAACAAGAUUUGAUCCGGAGAUUUCUGAAUGGGACAACCCGUCAGGUAGAAGACCUGACACAUCGUAAGAUGGGCCAACCCUCUGAACUGAAACAUCUUAGUAGGAGGAGGAAAAGAAAGAAACAUCGAUUUCCUGAGUAGCGGCGAGCGAAAGGGAAAAAGCCUAAACCGGUAUUGUUACGGCAAUGCCGGGGUUGUAGGACUGCAACAUUCAAGUAACAAUGAACUGGAACGAUCUGGAAAGUUCGUCCAUAGAGGGUGAAAGGCCCGUACAGGUAAGUUCGUUAUGCGAUAGCAGUAUCCUGAGUAGGGCGGGACACGAGGAAUCCUGUCUGAAUCCGCCGGGACCACCCGGUAAGGCUAAAUACUCCCAAGAGACCGAUAGUGAACCAGUACCGUGAGGGAAAGGUGAAAAGAACCCCGAACAGGGGAGUGAAAUAGAACCUGAAACCAUACGCUUACAACCGGUCGGAGCAGUUUCGUGCUGUGACGGCGUGCCUAUUGAAUAAUGAGCCUACGAGUUACUAAUCACUGGCGAGGUUAAGUGCACGGAUGCACGGAGCCGAAGCGAAAGCGAGUCUGAACAGGGCGGCUAGUCAGUGGUUGUAGACGCGAAACCUUGCGAUCUACCCUUGAGCAGGUUGAAGGUUGGGUAAAACCAACUGGAGGACCGAACGAAUAAGCGUUGAAAAGCUUCUCGAUGACUUGAGGGUAGGGGUGAAAGGCUAAUCAAGCUGGGAAAUAGCUCGUACUCCCCGAAAUGCCUUUUGGGGCAGCGUUGUAAUAAAGAGUCUACUGGAGGUAGAGCUACUGAUUGGAUGCGGGGGCUUCACCGCCUACCAAAUCCUGACAAACUCCGAAUGCCAGUAGUAUGAUUUACAGCAGUGAGUGACUGGGUGCUAAUGUCCAGUCGCAAAAGAGGAACAACUCAGACCAGCAACUAAGGUCCCGAAGAAUAUGCUAAGUUGAUCUAACGAUGUUUUGUUGCAGAGACAGCUAGGAUGUUAGCUUGGAAGCAGCUAUUCAUUCAAAGAGUGCGUAACAGCUCACUAGUCGAGCGACAGAGCGUGGAUAAUAAACGGGCAUCAAGCAUAUCACCGAAGUUCUGGGCGCGAGAGCGCGGUAGGGGAGCAUUCCAUUCAGCGUCGAAGCAGUUUCGUGAGGAAUUGUGGAGCGUAUGGAAAAGCAAAUGUAGGCAUGAGUAACGAUAAUGCGGGAGAGUAACCCGCACACCGCAAGACCAAGGUUUCCUGAUCAACGCUAAUCGGAUCAGGGUUAGUCGGGUCCUAAGGGUAAGCCGAACGGCGAUCUCGAUGGAUAAUCGGUUAAUAUUCCGAUACUAACAUAUACCUCGAUGGAGAGACGAAGGAACGUAAGUGCCGCCACCUGACGGAAUAGGUGGUUAAAGGGCGUAGAUAUAGGGGCAGAUUAAGAGUUAGUCCUUGCUGAAACCUGACAGUACAGAGAGCCUACGGGCAAUUUGAUAGAGCACCCAAGUCGACUUCCGAGAAAAUCUUCUAAGUUAUAGUAUAUGUUACCCGUACCGUAAACCGACACAGGUGGUCGAGGAGAGUAUCCUAAGGUGCUCGAGUGAAUCACGGUUAAGGAACUAGGCAAAUUAACCCCGUAACUUCGGGAAAAGGGGUCCCUAUGAAAGUAGGGCGCAGCGAAGAGGUCCAGGCGACUGUUUAUCAAAAACACAGGGCUCUGCAAAUUCGAAAGAAGACGUAUAGGGCCUGACACCUGCCCGGUGCUGGAAGGUUAAGAGGGGAUGUCAUCGCAAGAGAAGCAUUGAAUCGAAGCCCCAGUAAACGGCGGCCGUAACUAUAACGGUCCUAAGGUAGCGAAAUUCCUUGUCGGGUAAGUUCCGACCUG
RNAcentral lists this ribosomal RNA (1962 nucleotides) under human gut metagenome. Its description in RNAcentral is "bacterial LSU rRNA". It matches the Rfam family "Bacterial large subunit ribosomal RNA", at positions 1 to 1990 of the family's 2925-position model. The record is from RNAcentral.